UGAUGGGGAUAACUGAGCUGCAGGUUGGGACUAAAUCAGUUCAUGUCCUGAGCCUUUUGUAACUUCAAGUACCCUUCUUAUUAUCACCUGCCUUAUGGCUAGAAAUGCUUGCAUCCAUUUGGUGGUUACAGUUGUCAACCUUUUCCUUCUACUUGGCUUGUCGCUCACAAUUAGCAGAUUUAUAUAUUGUUGGUGAUGCAUAUAUUUAGCACCGCAUUGAACAUUUUUUGUGGUAGGACAGAUUGAUGGACAAUUCUUUUGAUUGUGUAGUUGUAUAUGAAGUUCCACAUACAUGAAUCUCCACUCAUCUGGUAAGAUUCCAAGAUAGGCUAACAUCAAAGCAAUUUUUGUAAAAACAAUCUUACCACCAGACUAUUAUAAAAGUAUUUUUUGCACGAGGUUGAAUAUUAAAUGUUGGGUGCUUGAUAAUUCAUCUAGCUUGAGAUCCACCACUGAUGACACGAGUCUGCUACCCUGCUCCUGUGAAGGUAACCGAAGUCCUGCGCCUCCCACCGUGAUAUCCUCUCUCUGCUUGCACCUCU
RNAcentral lists this long non-coding RNA (542 nucleotides) under Triticum aestivum (bread wheat). RNAcentral describes it as "long non-coding RNA (TAES_LNC003615)". Lineage: Eukaryota; Viridiplantae; Streptophyta; Magnoliopsida; Poales; Poaceae. The record is from RNAcentral.